UUGGGCCACCUGUAGUGGGCUGCUGAGAAACAAGCUGAAUCAGAACUAGCCCUGUCCUUGAGGAACAAACAUGGGACUCUGCCACCAGUGACAUGCACAGGGUAUGAAUGGUGUCUUUGGAGUAUGGAAAACAUAAGUCCAGCUUACUCAGGACUGAACAGAGACGUUUCUUUCACAGGUAAGCUCAGAAGACUUGACUUCUGAGCUAUGUCUGUGAAUGGAAGUUCUUGAAUGGCACAUGGCCUGAAAUCACCAGGUCUCUUAUGAUCCCAAUGAUGAUAAUCAAGCCAGAAUUCCACACACUGAGAGAGAAGGACAGGAAAUCAUCCUUAAAUAUUUGCUCUGCCUGGUUACACAAUGGAAGGAUAGAUACCACCUGGCUUAGAGGCACCUGUGAGCCUGGAGCUUCCUGAGGAGGGGCAGGAAGAUCUUGAAGCUGAGUCACCGACCUGAGGCUGGGCGUGGCUGCAGAUCUGGGACUUCUUAUCAGUCUGUAGGGGUGACUGUCUGGCUGCCUGGAGUCCCCAAAGGGGCUAUUCUUGAAGAAGAAUCCUUCCCAUUGAGUCAUGUAACUUUCUUACAACUUAUC
Prionailurus viverrinus (fishing cat) is the source of this 589-nucleotide long non-coding RNA. RefSeq lists it as uncharacterized. Lineage: Eukaryota; Metazoa; Chordata; Mammalia; Carnivora; Felidae. The record is from RefSeq and is a predicted model, not a curated record. The transcript has 3 exons.